Long non-coding RNA from Anolis carolinensis (green anole), 1829 nucleotides. RefSeq lists it as uncharacterized. The transcript is spliced from 3 exons. NCBI's taxonomy places the organism in Eukaryota, Metazoa, Chordata, Lepidosauria, Squamata, Anolidae. The record is from RefSeq and is a predicted model, not a curated record.
AAGGGGGCCGGCUGCAGGUGGGAGGAGCGGCGCCAGGCCCCGCCAUCUGCUCUGCGCGCCUUCCUCUCUCCUGUCCACUGAGUAGGGUCUUCUUAGGUUGGUUCUACAGUGCCAGGUCGCCACUUGAAAAUUGGCUUAGGUGUGGAGAGAUCAUCCCUGUCAGCUGCAGUGAGAGCAGAGAUGGGAGUACCCCCAAUUUCCACAGUAAUUCUGAAGAGGCAGAUCAAUUGGUGGUACAAAAUAAGACAAAUGCAACCACAUAGACUCCCAGCCAUAUGCCUAUUAGAGCAAGAAAACCACAAAGAAUGGUCAUCAUGGCUAAGCAGACUCGACCACACUGUCAGUUGGCUGAAGCUGGGGCUAACAGCAGGAGCUCACUCCUCUUCCCGGAUUCGAACCUCCGACCUUUCGGUCCGCAAGUUCAGCAGCUCAGCGCUUUAACGCACCUCCACCGGGUUCAAACCACCCCAAAUUUUUCAGGCCUGUCUGGAGUGGGCACACUUCAAUCUCCUUUCUGCUUUCUGCUUCAGUUUUAAUGCUUCCUUAAAGCUGUUUCUACUUUCUACUCUAGAGGGUAAGUAACUAGGUAGUAGUAGUUUUCAGAAAAUGAGGGUUUUCUUUUUGUUCGCUGGGAUUAAUAAUAAUAAUUAUCUCUUAGAAGUAUUUGAAGGAGAGGAAGGGAAGGAGAAAAAAGCUAAAAGGGUGACUCUCCCAAGCUCCCAAAUGCACGUGCGAACCCCACACACCUGUCCCACACAUCACCAACUGCCAGCGAGCCCCCAGAUGGCGUAGUGGACUAAGUGACUUGAAGGUUGGGUUGCUGACCUGAAAGCUGCCAGGUUCGAAUCCCACCUGGGGAGAGUACAGAUGGGCUCCCUCUAUUAGCUCCAGCUCCAUGCGGGGACAUGAGAGAAGCCUCUCACAAGGAUGGUAAAAGGCAUUGAAUGUUUGUCUUAUAUGUGUAAUGACAAGGCAUUGAAUGUUUGCCUUAUAUGUGUAAUGUGAUCCUCCCUGAGUCCCCUUCGGGGUGAGAAGGGCGGAAUAUAAAUACUGUAAAUAAAUAAAUAAUAAUUAAAAAUAAAAACAUCAAAACAUCCGGGCGUCCCCUGGGCAACGUCCUUGCAGACGGCCAAUUCUCUCACUCCAGAAGCGACUCAAGUUGCUCCUGACAUGGAAAAAAAAACCAACUGCCAGCCAGUCCCACUAAAUAAAAAGAAUCAAGAAAAUAAAGGAAAAGCAAAAAGAUUAAACUGUGAUACUGAAUAGGGGAUGAGGGCCAAGAUCAAGUGUCACAUGGUCCCAUUUCAGACUGGAAUCCAUGAGGACUGGGUCCUUGCCGUUACGGGCACCCGAACAAACCGAAGAAGCCAGAUUGGCUGAAAGAAAUUGCUAAAAACAGAUCUGCACUCAAGCCUAGUUCACAGUAUGCCAAGAGAAUGAAAUUGAUCAUAUAAGCUUUUAUAGACUAAGGGUUUGUCUACAGGAACAAAAAAAAGCAUAUUCAUCUAAUAGGCUCAGUAGCUCCUGUGAUAGUAGAAUUUGGGCUAAAGGUAAAAGUUCUUGGAAGCUAAGCAGGGUCAACACUUGUCAGUAUUUCGAUGAAGGUCUGUCACUUGUUAUUAACCAGUCAGCCAUCUAGUUGCCAUAUAAUCUUUUGGUCUGAAGAAGAAGUCUGAGAACUGUUCCCCUUUGCUAUAGACCAUUGGCGAGGAACCCCUAUUUUCCUGUAUUUUAAAGAUAAAACCUCAGACAUGUGUAACCAAGCAACAUCAGAGUGCAGUCAAUAUGGCAAAAGCUAUACAUGAGGAAAUAAACAUACGUUGGAAGAA